AUUGAACGCUGGCGGCAGGCCUAACACAUGCAAGUCGAGCGAGCGGCGGACGGGUUAGUAAUGUCUGGGAAACUGCCUGAUGGAGGGGGAUAACUACUGGAAACGGUAGCUAAUACCGCAUACCCUCGGAUGUGCCCAGAUGGGAUUAGCUUGUAGGUGAGUUAACGGCUCACCUGGGCGACGAUCCCUAGCUGGUCUGAGAGGCUGACCAGCCACACUGGAACGUUGACACGGUCCAGACUCCUACGGGAGGCAGCAGUGGGGAAUAUUGCACAAUGGGCGAAAGCCUGAUCCAGCCAUGCCGCGGGUGUGAAGAAGGUCUUCGGAUUGUAAAGCACUUUAAGUUGGGAGGCGUUACCAACAGAAUAAGCACCGGCUAACUUCGUGCCAGCCGCCGCGGUAAUAC
This 406-nucleotide ribosomal RNA is filed under the name uncultured bacterium. Its description in RNAcentral is "partial 16S ribosomal RNA". It matches the Rfam family "Bacterial small subunit ribosomal RNA", at positions 30 to 526 of the family's 1533-position model. The record is from RNAcentral.